This 574-nucleotide ribosomal RNA is filed under the name Fusarium avenaceum. RNAcentral's name for it is "eukaryotic LSU rRNA". The stretch from base 194 to 347 matches the Rfam family "5.8S ribosomal RNA". The record is from RNAcentral. Lineage: Eukaryota; Fungi; Ascomycota; Sordariomycetes; Hypocreales; Nectriaceae.
GGACGAAUCAGGUCUCGUUGGUGACCAGCGGAGGGAUCAUUACCGAGUUUACAACUCCCAAACCCCUGUGAACAUACCUUAAUGUUGCCUCGGCGGAUCAGCCCGCGCCCCGUAAAACGGGACGGCCCGCCAGAGGACCCAAACUCUAAUGUUUCUUAUUGUAACUUCUGAGUAAAACAAACAAAUAAAUCAAAACUUUCAACAACGGAUCUCUUGGUUCUGGCAUCGAUGAAGAACGCAGCAAAAUGCGAUAAGUAAUGUGAAUUGCAGAAUUCAGUGAAUCAUCGAAUCUUUGAACGCACAUUGCGCCCGCUGGUAUUCCGGCGGGCAUGCCUGUUCGAGCGUCAUUUCAACCCUCAAGCCCCCGGGUUUGGUGUUGGGGAUCGGCUCUGCCUUACGGCGGUGCCGCCCCCGAAAUACAUUGGCGGUCUCGCUGCAGCCUCCAUUGCGUAGUAGCUAACACCUCGCAACUGGAACGCGGCGCGGCCAUGCCGUAAAACCCCAACUUCUGAAUGUUGACCUCGGAUCAGGUAGGAAUACCCGCUGAACUUAAGCAUAUCAAUAAGCGGAGGAA